This 717-nucleotide ribosomal RNA is filed under the name Scolecobasidium tshawytschae. RNAcentral's name for it is "eukaryotic LSU rRNA". The stretch from base 344 to 495 matches the Rfam family "5.8S ribosomal RNA". The record is from RNAcentral. Lineage: Eukaryota; Fungi; Ascomycota; Dothideomycetes; Venturiales; Sympoventuriaceae.
CAUUACUGAGUGGCUGGCGCCGCCUCUGCGUUGCGAGAGCGCGCGGGGCGGGGAGAGCGGUUACCCGACCUUUUGUCAUUUGGGCUGGCGGCUGUUUUCCAGGCUGGGGGCUUCUGGGCUGGGGUUCCCGAGUGGGAGGACCAGGCUGGGGGGUUCCAGGGUGGAGACAGGCGGCGGCAUGUUCAGGUUCGGCGGAGGAGGCAGGGGCUGGCCGAGGUUGACCGGAUGGAUGGAAAGAUCGAUCGGGUUGACUGCGGGAGAGGCGACCUGCCCGCCGCCGGUGGGAUUAGCAACUCUUUGUUAGCAAGGUGAAGUCUGAGGAAGCAAGAAAACGAAAAAGCAAAACUUUCAACAACGGAUCUCUUGGCUCUGGCAACGAUGAAGAACGCAGCGAAACGCGAAAGGUAAUGCGAAUUGCAGAUCAGUGAGUCAUCGAAUAUUUGAACGCACAUUGCGCCUCUCGGUAUUCCGGGAGGCACGCCUGUUCGAGCGCCAUUACACCGUCCAAGCUGCGGCUUGAUGUUGGGCGAGGCUGCGGUCCGAGAGGACGGGCGGCGCGCCUGGAAGGUAUGGGCGGCGGAGGCCAGACCGCGAGCGUAGCAAGACGAGAGUCACCCGCUCGGACGGAUCUGGCGGACGCGUGUCGAGAAGUCUGUAUGUGAGUGGCGAGGGCGACCGCGCAAAGACGACGAAACACACACAAGUUUGGCCUCGAUC